GACGAACGCUGGCGGCGUGCUUAACACAUGCAAGUCGAACGGAAAGGCCCUGCUUUUGUGGGGUGCUCGAGUGGCGAACGGGUGAGUAACACGUGAGUAACCUGCCCUUGACUUUGGGAUAACUUCAGGAAACUGGGGCUAAUACCGGAUAGGAGCUCCUGCUGCAUGGUGGGGGUUGGAAAGUUUCGGCGGUUGGGGAUGGACUCGCGGCUUAUCAGCUUGUUGGUGGGGUAGUGGCUUACCAAGGCUUUGACGGGUAGCCGGCCUGAGAGGGUGACCGGCCACAUUGGGACUGAGAUACGGCCCAGACUCCUACGGGAGGCAGCAGUGGGGAAUAUUGCACAAUGGGCGGAAGCCUGAUGCAGCAACGCCGCGUGCGGGAUGACGGCCUUCGGGUUGUAAACCGCUUUCGCCUGUGACGAAGCGUGAGUGACGUAAUGGUAAAGAAGC
RNAcentral lists this ribosomal RNA (450 nucleotides) under Cutibacterium acnes. RNAcentral describes it as "bacterial SSU rRNA". It matches the Rfam family "Bacterial small subunit ribosomal RNA", at positions 28 to 491 of the family's 1533-position model. Lineage: Bacteria; Bacillati; Actinomycetota; Actinomycetes; Propionibacteriales; Propionibacteriaceae. The record is from RNAcentral.